AUUCAUGUAAACAUAGUAUAAGCGUUGAAUUUGAUAAUCAUGAGUAAUUUUAAUGUUUUGUCAUUUAGUCUGCAUCUCUCUGGUCUGUACACUUUGACAGCCAUUCUCAAAAGUAUUUCUAUAGGAGCUAAUGUGGCAUAUAUCGCUUGAUUAGAACAUGGAGGUAUUAUACUUCCAUAAUCAGUAGAUGUGUUGAUAGAAGAGGAAAUUAGUUCCUAUUAACUUGCCAAUACAUUAAGGGGUAUUUUGACAUCUCAGAAAUGAAGUUAUUUAAAUAAAACAUAGCAUGAAUAAAGAAAUUAUAAAUAAAUUAAAAAAAAAAUCACUUAAUAAUUAUUAAAAGGUAUGCUUGUCACAACAUUGAAAAUAAUUUUUAGUACAAACAAUGUAUAUAAUGUCUAUAUCUUAGCAAUAUUUUGCUAAUUAGAUAAAAAAAAUCGUAAGGGUUCCACGGAACCCGGUGUCUCGCCUACUUUUUCUGUUAAUCGCAGACUCAACAAAAAUGAGGAAAAACAUCAAUAAAAAUUUCCCUCACAAUACUGUCUUUUGAUUGAAAGAAGCUUCCAAGUUUGGUAAAAAAAUCCAGGAUAGUUUAUGAAUCUAAUAAAUGUUUUAUAAACUUUAACUGCAGACUGUAUGUAAUGUUAACUGGAAGAAAAACUAAG
This 665-nucleotide long non-coding RNA is filed under the name Mytilus galloprovincialis (Mediterranean mussel). Lineage: Eukaryota; Metazoa; Mollusca; Bivalvia; Mytilida; Mytilidae. The record is from RNAcentral.